This 429-nucleotide ribosomal RNA is filed under the name Chloroflexota bacterium. Its description in RNAcentral is "Chloroflexi bacterium partial 16S ribosomal RNA". It matches the Rfam family "Bacterial small subunit ribosomal RNA", at positions 355 to 776 of the family's 1533-position model. Lineage: Bacteria; Bacillati; Chloroflexota. The record is from RNAcentral.
UGGGGAAUAUUGCACAAUGGGCGCAAGCCUGAUGCAGCCAUGCCGCGUGUAUGAAGAAGGCCUUCGGGUUGUAAAGUACUUUCAGCGGGGAGGAAGGGAGUAAAGUUAAUACCUUUGCUCAUUGACGUUACCCGCAGAAGAAGCACCGGCUAACUCCGUGCCAGCAGCCGCGGUAAUACGGAGGGUGCAAGCGUUAAUCGGAAUUACUGGGCGUAAAGCGCACGCAGGCGGUUUGUUAAGUCAGAUGUGAAAUCCCCGGGCUCAACCUGGGAACUGCAGCUGAUACUGGCAAGCUUGAGUGUCGUAGAGGGGGGUAGAAUUCCAGGUGUAGCGGUGAAAUGCGUAGAGAUCUGGAGGAAUACCGGUGGCGAAGGCGGCCCCCUGGACGAAGACUGACGCUCAGGUGCGAAAGCGUGGGGAGCAAACAGG